RNAcentral lists this ribosomal RNA (398 nucleotides) under uncultured bacterium. RNAcentral describes it as "bacterial SSU rRNA". It matches the Rfam family "Bacterial small subunit ribosomal RNA", at positions 355 to 777 of the family's 1533-position model. The record is from RNAcentral.
UGAGGGAUAUUGCACAAUGGGGGAAACCGAGAUGCAGCGACGCCGCGUGGGGGAUGAAGGUCUUCGGAUCGUAAAACCCUUUUUCGGGUGACGCGGUAGCCUCAGAAAAAGUCUCGGCUAACUACGUGCCAGCAGCCGCGGUAAAACGUAGGAGGCAAGCGUUAUCCGGAGUUACUGGGCGUAAAGCGCAUGUAGGCGGUGGUACAAGUUGGUUGUGAAAGCGCCCGGCUAAACUGGGCGAGGCCGAUCAAGACUGUACGACUAGAGAGUGAUAGAGGGGCGCAGAAUUCGGGGUGUAGCGGUGAAAUGUGUAGAGAUCCCGAGGAAUACCAGUGGGGAAGCCGGCGCCCUGGGUCAUAUCUGACGCUGAGAUGCGAAAGCGUGGGGAGCGAACGGGA